This 420-nucleotide ribosomal RNA is filed under the name uncultured bacterium. RNAcentral's name for it is "bacterial SSU rRNA". It matches the Rfam family "Bacterial small subunit ribosomal RNA", at positions 335 to 768 of the family's 1533-position model. The record is from RNAcentral.
ACUCCUACGGGGAGGCAGCAGUGGGGAAUAUUGCACAAUGGGCGCAAGCCUGAUGCAGCAACGCCGUGUGAGUGAAGAAGGUUUUCGGAUCGUAAACUCUGUCCUAAGGGAAGAAAAAAUGACGGUACCUUAGGAGGAAGCCCCGGCUAACUACGUGCCAGCAGCCGCGGUAAUACGUAGGGGGCAAGCGUUAUCCGGAAUCACUGGGCGUAAAGGGUGCGUAGGCGGCUUUAGCAAGCCAGGGUGAAAGGUCAUUGGCUCAACCAAUGUAAGCCUUUGGAACUGUUAAGCUUGAGUGGACAGGAGAGGUAAAGUGGAAUUCCUAGUGUAGAGGUGAAAUUCGUAGAUAUUAGGAGGAACACCAGUGGCGAAGGCGACUUACUGGACUGUAACUGACGCUGAUGCACGAAAGCUGGGUAG